RNAcentral lists this unclassified non-coding RNA (244 nucleotides) under Hevea brasiliensis (rubber tree). The record is from RNAcentral. Lineage: Eukaryota; Viridiplantae; Streptophyta; Magnoliopsida; Malpighiales; Euphorbiaceae.
UAUAUCGUGGGUAUUCUUCAGCUCACUAUAGAGGCGGAGACUGGGAUUCAGGUGGAAGUUGUAACAAAGAGAGUGAACCUGUUUCGAAAGGUGCUAUCCUUGGAAACUAUCCGAUGAAAAUGAAGAUUGUGGAGGAGGUGAUUAAGGAAAUGCAGUUCCCAGUAGUCCUUUUAAACGUAACACAGUCAACCAAUUUCCGCAAGGAUGGUCACCCGUCUGUGUAUGGUAAGGUUGGUAAAAAGGG